Molecule: ribosomal RNA, 233 nt
Filed under: uncultured bacterium
Lineage: Bacteria
Description: partial 16S ribosomal RNA
Rfam family: Bacterial small subunit ribosomal RNA
Source: RNAcentral
UGACGAGUGGCGAACGGGUGAGUAACACGUGGAGACCUGCCCUAGGGUACGGGACAACAGUUAGAAAUGACUGCUAAUACCGUAUACGUCCUAAGGGAGAAAGAUUUAUUGCCCUAGGAGGGGUCCGCGUCGGAUUAGCUAGUUGGUAGGGUAAAGGCCUACCAAGGCGACGAUCCGUAGCUGGUCUUAGAGGACGAUCAGCCACACUGGGACUGAGACACGGCCCAGACUCC